UCCUGUGUUUACUUCUCUCCUUAAAUCUUUUGAAACUUUAUCGUUGAAUAUCUUGUCAAAACACGAAGUCUCAGGUAGUUUAACACAUAAACCGGGAAGACUGCGACGAAGUUGAAGAUUCUACCGUUUUAUUUUUUUCCUUUUCAUCGACUAAGUGGUAGAAAUUCUAAUUUUUCGUACUGUUUUGUCGUUCAUUGCGCGUGGUGUUUAUUAUUUGGAAUUUCAAAACGGACAAGUUUUGGAGUGGGCAUCGUGUUUUCAAGGCAAACUGAGUUUUGGAGUCCAUCGUUGUUCGUUUGAAAGUUAUUCACAUUUUUUUGACGCGCGCUCAAGAUACCAUGGAGGAGUGAAAUAUAUCGACUGAUGAAAUGUACUCAGAGCAGCUCGAAAGUACAGCAAGCGCACAAUGAACGAGGCAACGGCAUAACAUGUUCAGACAUGUGGGAUGUGGAAAGAUGAGUAGUUGGAGGCUGGAAGACAUUUGGAAGAUUUUGUAGACACAACUGGCAUUCUCUUGGUAGAUCAUAAAUUGGUAGCUCCUCCCCAUAGUUCCACACCUUUAGUGCCACUAGCUGCAUGAGUCUUGGAACUUGUCCGUCAGGUGUACAGGUAACUCCCUCAAUUACUGUUGGGUUGAAUGACCUCUGUCCCUCCAGUGCAGAUGUUCCCUUGGCAGAAGCCUUCCAUUGAAGUUUAAGUUUGUGACCAUCUGCUUUUAGUGACUGAAUUGUUUCUGAUCUGACUGGAAUUUCAAGAAGCUUUAAAACUGAAUACCAGAAAGGACUUUGGUAUCUCUGAUCAGCUCCCAUUCCAAACAACUUGGGAAAAGUUAACCACUCUGCUCCAUGAUCUUUGAUUACUUUGAUUGCUUCUUGUAACAUUGGCCUCUGCACUUGUUUGUGAAAGUGGUUGAUAGCUGCUGGGUCCUUCAAUGACAUCUUCACCUGUUGUGAUGUUAAAGGAAAAUAUUCUGCAGGAGACAUCAACAUUUUACUUAAAGUUUCAUGGUGCUUCAGAACAGUUGCUGGCCAUAACCUUGCUAGGUAACCACUGGAGAAUCCAAGUUCUGCAUCACUAGCUUGGGAUGUAUUCAGAGAUGGGAUGAUAAACUUAUCGAGGAAUUCAAACAAAGACUUGAUUUCAACUUGAAUCAUAAGACUGGAGCUCAGCUUAAUGACAUCUUGCCAAAUAGUCUGGUGGCAAUCUGAUUUUGGCAAUCUUUCAAGGAGACACUCAGCAAGCUGUAAACAAGCUUUUCCAUACUUAAGAUACCACUGGAGAGUUUCAUGAUAAUAUGUCCACCUUGUGUCUAUGAAUGUCUGGGGAAGGGGUGGCUCUUUACUUAGAAUACCAAGAGAAACAUACAUAACUUUGUAUUGGCUUGGACGCUCAUGAUGGAGCCAAGAUAUUUUAUAGAGUAAUUGUAAAACAUGGGGGUUGCUCAUGUCACCCUUGGCCCCAAACCCAGCCUGGCACAUUCUUCUCAGCAUAAUGUUUAGUACAUGUGGGUAGCAUCCUACAAAAAACAUCUCUUUUCCAAAAAUUCUGGCAUUGUUAGCUAAAAGACCAUUUACUUUUCCCUUUUGGGUAGAGGCAUCGUCCCCAACCAACCCUGAAACAUUGGUAAUAUCAUAUUCAUUUUUUACAACAUGGUAAUCUACAUCAGACUGGUGUUUUCCAGACCCGCUUGCUGUUAGGCUGUUUGCAAGGACAUAAGCUCGUGGCUUGCUCUCUAAGGGACACCAGGUGUGAACACCCACUACGUGCCUCUCCUCUCCUCCUUUGUGGGAGUCAUCACUCCAGAGAUGAAAAUCAUACUUGGAAUUUGAAAAGCGCUUGCGUAAAAUUAGUUUGUCAGCUUCACCCAAAAGAACAUUCCAGUCAGAAAGUGUAGUUGGAGAGACAAUGAAGUUUGUUGGGGGGCUACAAUUGAACAAAAUAUUGAAAAUCAGAUGUAAUGCUACAGGUGUCUUUUGAUAUGAUAACAAAGAUGCAUGUUGCAUGUAUCUGACACAAGCCAUAAACAUCAAGGUCCUUUGGUUGUGUCCAUUGUGACCAUGAGCAAAUGUUGCCCUGUAAUUUCUGUUUUAGCUUUGAAGAAGCAGAUCUUGUCCCCCUUAGCUUGUGUCUGACUUGUUUUUCCUUUUUUUCAGUAGACGUCAGAUUUUUUUGACACUUUUUAAGUUGAGUUUGAAGCCUCAACACGUCCUCUUUCAAUUGGAUGUUCCUUCCUUUUACAAAUACUGAAAUUAUGAAAAGGUGACACAAUAAAAAUUAGUUAA
Molecule: long non-coding RNA, 2282 nt
Organism: Pocillopora verrucosa
Lineage: Eukaryota; Metazoa; Cnidaria; Anthozoa; Scleractinia; Pocilloporidae
Source: RefSeq, a predicted model, not a curated record